CCUGAAGAAUGUUGGUUCAGAAACCCCGCAACUCCACAACAAGACCAGCCUAUCCUUCAGAUUAUUUACAGAGAGGACAAGUACCUUGGUUUUGAGAAUAGUGCCAUCAGAGAGAUGAACCAUCUUGUAGUAUCCAGACAAUUCGAUAUGAACAACCUUAGACGAAAACCUUAUGGUCCCUUGAGGCAGCUCAUCCGCUAGAGCCUCUAACAGCACCUUCCUCUAAGAAGAAGAAGGAAGAAACAUACUCGGAUUUUGGAAAGAGCAUUUCCUUAGAAGGAUUUCCUGGGGAGAUGUGUCCCACCACCCAUCUGCAUGCGAAGAAGAAGAAGAUCAAAGAUAAAGUUCUCUAGUCACAGAGUUGAUAUGAACAAUACUAGUGUUAGCCUGAUGAUAGAUACCCUUGAAGGAGAUCAUGGAGAUCGCGAACAUGCUGAGAAACGCCGAGAGCUUCCAUAGCCUUCCAAGCGUUGAACCAAGUAGUAAAUGCGAAUCCUGUGGCUCUCAGCUUAUCUGAAGAUUCCAGCACCAUGCUUCUAAUCCCAAGCCUGUGUGACACCACUUUGUUUAACUAACACAAAGGAAGGAUAAGCUACUUUCACAAACACAAACCUAUGAAGUCCAACGGCGGUUGAAAGGCCGGAGAUUCCGGCGCCAACGAUGACAAUAUCUAGGGUGCCUUGUUCUUCCAUGGUGAUCUUGAGGAAGCUCUGCGUUUAUUCCUCUGUUGUUUAUAUUUAAAAAAUACAAAAUUGUGGAGGAAGAUGGCAAGUCAAACAAAGGCACCCAGUUCUAGGCAGGCGGCUAUACAGUAAUUAAAAUCGAAUUUUAAUACUCUAUUAAAUUAUUAUUAUGAAGAAGAGCCCUCCCUACUUAUUCGUAGUAGUGAAAGAGGAGACAAGCGCGUAAUAAAAGGAAACCAUCACAUUAUUUCUCUAAACUUUAUUACAGACAAACAAAUGAUUACACUAAUGCAAGUAGUGUAUAGCUAGCUGCUUAUUUGAAGAAAUUGAUUUAAGAAAGAAAGAAAGAACAAGUCAAAACGUGCAAGGAGGGUCAAAGUAGAAGCUGACGA
This is a long non-coding RNA of Brassica rapa (field mustard), 1075 nucleotides long. RefSeq lists it as uncharacterized. The record is from RefSeq and is a predicted model, not a curated record. NCBI's taxonomy places the organism in Eukaryota, Viridiplantae, Streptophyta, Magnoliopsida, Brassicales, Brassicaceae.